This 1269-nucleotide long non-coding RNA is filed under the name Astyanax mexicanus (Mexican tetra). Its description in RNAcentral is "lncRNA (ENSAMXG00005016369.1)". Lineage: Eukaryota; Metazoa; Chordata; Actinopteri; Characiformes; Acestrorhamphidae. The record is from RNAcentral.
AAAAAGAGUAGCACUUUUUGAAAGAAAUGUAACAUAAGAAAGGUAAAGGGCAAAUAUUAACCAUGUAAGCUGUUUAUAUUGCUUGCAAUUUAGGUGAAGCAAGCAUGUGUAAAGCAUUUUAAUGUAAAAUUGCUUAAUUUUGCUGAAUUAAAUACAAGUAACAAAGUAAACGAGUAACAAAAAUAUGAACACCACACAAGGGUUAAAGAGUUUUAAAGAAUUUUAAAGGGUUUUACAGGAUUUUCAAGUGUGUUUUCAGCAGUCUCACAUUGAUAUCCUGGUGAAGAACAGCUUUGUGGAAUUGGUUUCUGGGAAGCUGAACUGAAAUUGUGUGAAUUGUGAAAAGAUAAAGAUGUGGUGUGGGGCUGGCUCUUUCUGUAAAGGUUGCACCAGGGGAAAUGGGCUCUUUCUGACGUCGGUGAGAACACAAUGUCUGGGCAAUCUGGAGUGUGAUUACUGGCCUGUUCUGGACAAAUCAAAGCGAUUACUAGCUAAUGGAUUAUGGUGGGAGGAAGGAAGACAGAUGCAUCUUGUUACUUAACAGGCUUACAUGUGCAAACCCCCCCUCUACACCCCCCUACGCCCCUACCCAGAAAAGACAGCCCAUGUGGUCAGCGCUGUGACGCAGAUGAAGAAGCUGCAGGCCAGAAAAUACAAGGAUGCUGUUCUGUUCACUGACCCUGCUGCAGAUACUGAUGACAUGGCAGAGGCUAAACAGAGAGCUCUUCUUGAUCAGCGCCAUCUAGAGACGUACCACAGGAUUCACCGGCUGAGGGACAGACUGUACCAGCACUACUCUGAGUUACUGACAGAGAAGAUCCAGAGACAGAGGCAGGAGCUGAAGAUGCAUCAUGACUCAGCUUCCCAGAAAAACACAGAAAAUGACACUGAACAGACUGAAAAAAGCUGGAAAACUCAACACAACAGAAGAGUGAAGAGCAAUUGGAGGAAAAGAUAUGAGGAGACGUAUAAAUAUAUAUAUAUAUAUAUAUAUAUAUAUGUUUGGAUUACCUCUCUACAUUACUGUGUAUAAAUAAGCAUGUGUUCCUGUGAAAUGGUUUGUAAAGGUGAUACUUGGAUUUUUUAGUUUGGUCAUUGGUGAUACGUGGUCUAAACACUGUAUGACUCUACCUACACCAGGCUUUGAAGUGCAGGUACGAUGGUGUUUGAGGUUGAGGAGAUUGAGGAAGCUCCUCAUGUUAAUACGGGGGCUGGGGGCUGUUGGUGCAGACUUGUGAUUGACUUUGAUUUUGGCCGUCUGGCCCGAGG